GAGAGAGAGAGAGAGAGAGAGAGAGAGAGAGAGAGGGAGAGAGAGGCAGAGAGGGAGAGUUCCACUCAAGGCUGUGUUUCUAGUAAACUCAGUAGAAGCCUCAUGGACAGAUAUGUUCUAAGGUGACUGAUAGGCACCGGUCACCUUGAUAAUGGCCUAAAACCACACCAGCAGCAUCCUGAUCGAGUUUUGAGGACAACUGCCACCUUGAAUCAGAGGAGAAGCUUUCGGCAUUUGCAGCUGGCCUGGCAUCUGAGAAUCUGCAGGUUACUCUUACCAUGUACUGGGGCAUGAGAAGAAGAAACAGUAAAUUUGAAUGGUAUGCAAACACCUUUAAAAUAAAAACAAAAGAAAAAGAGAAAAAUAUCUGUGAGAAACAAAUGAUCGAGCUGUACUCAGAAGCCUUCAAAAAACCAAGUGCUAGGUAAUCCAAACCUUGCCUUAUGCAUGCUGGGCAAGUGCAUUAACACUGUGCUACACCCCCAACCCUGCUACGAAUUCUUUAGACUUCACUCUCCUACUGAAGUGGGUUCAAAGCCAUGGCUGCUGCCUGGGGAAGACCUGACUCUGGGAACUUUUGUCUCGGUGGCUGGCAGCCACAGUUCACGAGCCAAGUCUGGAAUGGUUGCUUGAGUUCAUACUGCUACAGGGCCAAGGACGGUUGUUGCAUUUUGAAAAGAGCGAAAACACCAAGCCAACACUUCUCCACAAGGAGAAUGAAAUCGAGGGUCCGUGUCGGGGAGCUGGAAGGCAGCCGUAGCGCAGGUCACUGUCCAGUUGCACACAGCUGCUGCCCACUGCAGCAGCAGAGUGGAGCAGGUGUGGGACCUUGUGUCUCAGCAGUGAGAACGGUGACUAAGACAGUCCUCACCCAGUGACCAUGCCCUUGCCCAGGCCGUUCCCCAUUCUACAUCUCCAUCUGUCAGGCUCUUCACAUGUCUGGUGCUACAGUGGAAUACCACCUUUCGGAGAGCAAAGACCAUGCCUCUGACAUCGCACCUGCCCUACAGUGCUUAACCUAGGAGCUGUGCCCAGUGAGUGUGCAGAUCUGGGUGAUGUAUUCAGGUGCAGCUGUGUUCCCUCUCCUAUAACCACAGACCUGCUCUCACUGGGUUCUUGGACACUGCAGAAAGGUAGAGCACCCCAGGGAAAGAAAGAAGCCCUAAGUGCCUUCAUUCCUUAGGUGGAUUCAUUCAUCCAGCGCAUAUUAAACUUCUGCAGUGUUCCAGGUACUAUAUCAGGG
This 1243-nucleotide long non-coding RNA is filed under the name Heterocephalus glaber (naked mole-rat). RNAcentral's name for it is "lncRNA (ENSHGLG00000037659.1)". The record is from RNAcentral. Lineage: Eukaryota; Metazoa; Chordata; Mammalia; Rodentia; Bathyergidae.